UACGAAGGGGGCUAGCGUUGUUCGGAAUUACUGGGCGUAAAGCGCACGUAGGCGGAUUGGCAAGUCAGGGGUGAAAUCCCGGGGCUCAACCUCGGAACUGCCUCUGAUACUGCCAGUCUAGAGUCCGGAAGAGGUGGGUGGAAUUCCUAGUGUAGAGGUGAAAUUCGCAGAUAUUAGGAAGAACACCGGUGGCGAAGGCGGCCCACUGGUCCGG
RNAcentral lists this ribosomal RNA (214 nucleotides) under uncultured prokaryote. RNAcentral's name for it is "partial 16S ribosomal RNA". It matches the Rfam family "Bacterial small subunit ribosomal RNA", at positions 524 to 737 of the family's 1533-position model. The record is from RNAcentral.